This 146-nucleotide ribosomal RNA is filed under the name Kamptonema animale CCALA 140. RNAcentral's name for it is "Kamptonema animlae CCALA 140 partial 16S ribosomal RNA". It matches the Rfam family "Bacterial small subunit ribosomal RNA", at positions 1388 to 1533 of the family's 1533-position model. Lineage: Bacteria; Bacillati; Cyanobacteriota; Cyanophyceae; Oscillatoriales; Microcoleaceae. The record is from RNAcentral.
ACCCGCCCGUCACACCAUGGAAGUUGGCCAUGCCCGAAGUCAUUACCCUAACCGCAAGGAGGGGGAUGCCGAAGGCAGGGCUGAUGACUGGGGUGAAGUCGUAACAAGGUAGCCGUACCGGAAGGUGUGGCUGGAUCACCUCCUUU